GCCUCUUCAAUUUGCAUUUCUUACACGCCCGAUCUCAUCUGAUCUCGGAGGCUAAGCAGGGUCGGACCUGGUUAGUAUUUGGAUGGGAGACCUCCUAGGAAUAUCAGGGGCUGUAGGCU
RNAcentral lists this ribosomal RNA (119 nucleotides) under Microcebus murinus (gray mouse lemur). The record is from RNAcentral. Lineage: Eukaryota; Metazoa; Chordata; Mammalia; Primates; Cheirogaleidae.